Molecule: ribosomal RNA, 498 nt
Filed under: uncultured bacterium
Lineage: Bacteria
Description: bacterial SSU rRNA
Rfam family: Bacterial small subunit ribosomal RNA
Source: RNAcentral
GAUGAACGCUGGCGGCGUGCCUAAUACAUGCAAGUCGAACGCAUUGUGGUUGAAAUGAUAUGAAGAACUUGUUCAGAUUUGAUUUUCAACAUUGCAAUGAGUGGCGAACGGGUGAGUAACACGUGGGAAACCUACCUCUUAGCAGGGGAUAACAUUUGGAACCAAAUGCUAAUACCGUAUAAUAAUUAAAACCGCAUGGUUUUAGUUUAAAAGAUGGUCUUGCUAUCACUAAGAGAUGGUCCCGCGGUGUAUUAGUUAGUUGGUGAGGUAAUGGCUCACCAAGACAAUGAUACAUAGCCGAGUUGAGAGACUGACCGCCACAAUGGGGACUGAGACACGGCCCAUACUCCUACGGGAGGCAGCAGUAGGGAAUCUUCCACAAUGGACGAAAGUCUGAUGGAGCAAACGCCCGCGUGUGUGAUGAAGGGUUUCGCUCGUAAAACACUGUUGUAAGAGAAGAAUGACAUUGAGAGUAACUGUUCAAUGUGUGACGGUAUC